CCAAAAUGGCGCAGGCGGGGGGUGACGGGCACCGGCGGGAGGGGGCGGGGGGAGCCGGCGGCGCCACUCACCUGCCGGGGCUCCGUCGCCUUUAUUCACAGAGCCAUAGAAUCGUCAAGGUUGGAAGACACCUUUAAGAUCAAGUCCCAAGCGUCAACCGAGCCCUGCCACUGUAACCCCUAAAGCACCAAACCACAUCGCCCAGCGCCAGGUCCAGACGCCUCUUAAACACCUCCAGGGAUGGCACGGCAGAAGGGACCGGCCACCACCGCGCUGCAACCUGCCUUCAGGUAGUUGCAUUGUUCUCCAGAAACACCGAUUUGCGAUGCUGUUUGCUCAGGAGGUUGGCACAUGCUCUCGGGGUCAGUUAUUUCCACACGUUACACCAAAAUUAUGGAGUGUUCCUGCACUGAACUGAACUGAAACCAGCCUCCAAAGCCUGGAUGCCACCUAUGUGCUACUUUUUUGCCACAAGUUAUCCCGAUCCUGAUUGUACAUCAGGCUUUGCAGGAUGAGCACCUUGCUGUUAAAAGCACAGUCACUUAUGCCGGCCUGCGUGGUGCUUUCAUGUCGGAAUGGGGGUUGUAUGAGUGGUGUGGAAAAUGCAGGGGUGAAUACAGAUUCAUUGGUAGCCUGCAGUGCAUCACUCGGUGCUUCUCCAACUUUCCCUUUCAGCAUCAGCUUCCAGUUGUGGCCACACACUCAACGCGUGACAGAAGAAUAAAUGCAGCUCAAUUAAAUUCUUUUGUCUUUUUUCAACCAAAUUACAAAAUAAUUACCAUCUCUCCCUUUACUUCAUUUUUAUCUUAAAUAAAUCACUAUUAGAUUUAGCAGGUUUCUGAUUUUCAUAGGAGUUUGAUCAUUGUUAUGCAACAUUAGGUUAGAUUAUCCUUGUUGUUUUAAUGCUUCUGAUAAUGAUUUUCUAGGUUCAUGAACAACAGAGCUGACUAUUUGUAGUGGUCAUUAUCUCUGUGAUUUGUGGUCACUUUCUGUGCAGAUACUCCUGUGUACAGCUAUUUUGGUUGCUAUAUAAAUCAAAUUAUUUUGUCAAUGUAUCGACUGCACUGAGACUAAUCUGAAAUUUCUUGCAUAUGUUUCUUUUUUUGUCUUCUAAUGUACUUCCACUUCAUCACUAAGAAGGUUUAUUAUCUUGGCCUGUGGUAGUAAGAAUCCCAGCAGUCUGGCUAAAAGGAACAGACCAAGCAAUUACAAAACUCACUAAGAAGUAAAUGAGGCAGCACUUACAUUGCAGAAUGCUUACCAUCAGUUCUGAUAACGCAAGUGGCAAAAAAAUGUUUGGUGGGGCUGAAAACUGUGGUUUUAAAAGUAUGUUUGCAAAGCUAUCAUAAAAAGUAGGCAAGGAAAUGUAUUUUAUUAGCUGACUUUAAAAAUAUUUGUGUAACUCUGUUUGUAUCACUGUAUAUGUCCAUAUAUUUCUGCUUUUUUCAGAACGAUCUCGAGGUCAUUCAGAGCUCCUGGGAACUUAAGCUAUAUUUUUCUAGCUCUGAAGGCUCUGAAAAUGGUUUGUGUAACAGUGUAAUAAACAACCUAAUAAAGAAAGCAAAAAGCUGAGUAGAAGUUUGUUUCUUUCCUGGAAAGGAAGAUCAGCAGAGUACGUCAGCAGGCAGAGAGAGAAAAAGGAGAAGUGUCCUGUCUGGAGCUGAAGAGUCUCAAGGGAAGAUUCACAGGGAUUUCUUACAAGAAAUGAAAUGUUAACAUUAGCGUUAAAAAGGAGUUCUUUCUGCAGGUGUGCCAUAAAUCCAAAAUAACUAACCGAAGUCAGUGCAGUUCCUGGGGAUUUGUGCUACUGUAAAUGAGAACAGAAUGGUCGUCUGACAACUCCGCAUUUUGUUUCACAUAUCCCUGGAUACCCUUGUUGUGUGCAACAAGACAUGGAGAUAUGAACAGUGGGAUUUUAAAUGGAUCUACAUUUAUAAUUCCAGUUAAAAUCAAGAGGAAAGGAGUGGAAAACAAACAGAACCUUUUUCUCUUCUGUGCCAUGCUCACACCAAAACAUCUGUCCAUCAGCUCUACUUCCUUCAAGUCCAGGAACACCGUGGUUAUAGGAGCGCUUAAAAAGCCUGUAUUUUUACUGUCAGAGGAUGCCAUUGACAUUCCUAGACAUGAAAAUACUUAAGAUUGCUGUAUGCUGGUUUUUGGGGUUUUUUUUACUCUAUAAAUGGCAUUCUGAACUGUGCUGCCUGUAUCAAAUAGCUCCUGGAACAUCCCUCCUAAUCAGUUCCUUUUGGGAGCGGGAUCGUCGGGCUGGUUCUGAAGCCGUGCCAGUGCCGGCAGUGCACAGGGACUACAGAUGAGAUCUUUGUUACAGAAGCAUGAGAUCAAUUCACCAUUCCGGGCCAUGUAGUAAAUGCAUUCCUGACUGAACGUUACAUCGUUUUUAUUUUCCUGGGACAGCAUUGCACUGUGUCUCCUCUCUGAAAGAGCUAUGUUCAUUAGAUACAGGAAGUCCUGCUAAUCAUCCAUAACGUUACAUUAACAGCUGCUGGUGUGUCUUUGAAUGCCCAGUGAUGAGGGGAGAGUUUGCAAGAGAUUUGGUACUUCUUUGCUGUGAUUGUUUUCUUCAGCAUGCUUCAGAAUCCAAAGUUCUGUAAAAAAAAAGGCCAGUUAAUCCUUAGGGUUGUGAGGAAAACUUUUAAAACAUGCACCAGAUGGAAAUCAAUGCAGUACUGUCUUGCAAGCAGACAGAUAGGCUGAGAAGAAAUCUGAAGUCUGAUAUUAUUUGGGUUGAAGGAAAAAGAGCUGCAAAGCAAUCAUGCAACUUAGAUAUCAUCGAUACAGAAUAUGCAAGUCUGCAGUGAGCUCUGUCUCAUUUCACAUCGUUGACAGCUUUGUUUUUGCCAGUGGCUCAAGAUAAACCCAAUUUUCUCUCCUGUUGAUUUGUGCUCCCUUUCUUUUGUAUAGACAACUUCCAUUACUUCCUUUGGCAGUGCACACGAUAGCUGACUCAGGAACAGAGCUGACCGGAAAAAAAAGAUUUCCAGUCUAUAGACAAUAAAUUUAUACUUCUGCCCUUGUUUUAUGCACAUUUUUUUACAA
This is a long non-coding RNA of Neopelma chrysocephalum (saffron-crested tyrant-manakin), 3057 nucleotides long. RefSeq lists it as uncharacterized. The transcript has 6 exons. The record is from RefSeq and is a predicted model, not a curated record. NCBI's taxonomy places the organism in Eukaryota, Metazoa, Chordata, Aves, Passeriformes, Pipridae.